This 774-nucleotide long non-coding RNA is filed under the name Bos taurus (domestic cattle). Its description in RNAcentral is "long non-coding RNA NONBTAT011212". The record is from RNAcentral. Lineage: Eukaryota; Metazoa; Chordata; Mammalia; Artiodactyla; Bovidae.
AGCAGAAUCUUUGUAUGCUUCCUAGUGUUAACUAAAAUAGAACACUAGGGACUUCAGUAAGUUGUUUUGUUUAAGUCCAACUCAGCAAGCUUUUCUCAAAGCCAAGUCUGCUUGAAGAGAUGAAUUAUUCUGAGUUGGAUGUUCAUGCUCUUUGAUGGGUAAAAUGAAAAUAUUCAGUGUAUUCUUGGAAAACAAGGUGGGUGGGUGGGUUUUAGUGUUUUCAGAUUAUAAAGACAGCACUUUCAGCACACAUAAGAGUAUUUUGCAAACCUCUUUUAUACAGAUUAUGAGCUCUACUUUGUUUAAGUGUUAAAAUGGAAUGAUGUAAAUUUUAGGUGCAGUUGAACAAAUAUUGAGUGCCUACCAUGCGAGAUUUCCUCUUCACUAAGAAUGAAAUCACCACACCGUGUCUUCUGUUUGCAGUAUGUGGACUUUACGUUUGAAAAAGAAUUCUUAUAUUUAAAUCUUUUUUUGUUGUUAGAGUUUAUCAUUGUAUACUGUAACCCAGUUAAUUUUUGCCUUCAGUUUUUUAGAAUGAAAAUAUAACUUGAGUCCCAUUUUUGAAAAUAAAAGUCUGCUGAAAUUAUUUAAAAAUUAGUUCUGGGGGGAAUUGAUUUUCAAGAUUCAAAUGUAUAAAGACACAUUGAACUUUUCAGCCUCAUUUUUAAUCAAGCUGAUGUCAAUGAUGAGAUACAUACUUUUUGUAUCUUGUUGCUGAAAAUAUUUUUUGCAUUUCAGCACGUUGAGUUAAAAUAAAGUUGUUACUACUUAUUC